AGUCAAGUAAUGAAGUGCACAUGGUGGAUGCCUUGGCAGUCAGAGGCGAUGAAAGACGUGACAGCCUGCGGAAAGCGGCGGGGGGGGGGGAAUAGCGGCAAUAUCCUGUGAUCCGGCGAUAUCUGAAUGGGGAAACCCACUUGUCAUAAGACAGGUAUCGUAAAUUUAUUUACGAGGCAAACCGGGAGAAGUGAAACAUCUCAGUAACCCGAGGAAAAGACAUCAAUAGAGAUUCCCCUAGUAGCGGCGAGCGAACGGGGAGGAGCCGACUGAUUAUAAUUUAGAGGAAUGACUUGGAAAGGUCAAUCGUAGAGGGUGAUAAUCCCGUACUCGAAAGGUUAUAAGAAGCAUAUUAAGUAGGGCGGAACACGAGAAAUUCUGUCUGAAGAUGGGGGGACCAUCCUCCAAGGCUAAAUACUCCUGACUGACCGAUAGUGAACCAGUACCGUGAGGGAAAGGCGAAAAGAACCCCUGUGAGGGGAGUGAAAUAGAACCUGAAACCGUGUGCAUACAAGCAGUCGGAGCGGACAUGUUCCGUGACGGCGUACCUUUUGUAUAAUGGGUCAGCGACUUAUAUUCUGUAGCAAGGUUAACCGAAUAGGGGAGCCGUAGGGAAACCGAGUCUUAAUAGGGCGUCUAGUUGCAGGGUAUAGACCCGAAACCGAGUGAUCUAUCCAUGAGCAGGUUGAAAGUGACGUAACAGUUACCGGAGGACCGAACCCACUGUCGUUGAAAAGCCAGGGGAUGACUUGUGGAUAGGGGUGAAAGGCUAAUCAAACUCGGUGAUAGCUGGUUCUCCCCGAAAGCUAUUUAGGUAGCGCCUCGGACGAACACCAUUGGGGGUAGAGCACUGUUUCGGCUAGGGGGUCAUCUCGACUUACCAAACCGAUGCAAACUCCGAAUACCGAUGAGUGAUAUCCGGGAGACAGACGGCGGGUGCUAACGUCCGUCGUCAAGAGGGAAAAAACCAAGACCGCCAGCUAAGGAAUUCCUAGUUAAGUGGGAAACGAUGUGGGAAGGCACAGAACAGAAUUCCUAGUUAAGUGGGAAACGAUGUGGGAAGGCACAGACAGCUAGGAGGUUGGCUUAGAAGCAGCCACCCUUUAAAGAAAGCGUAAUAGCUCACUAGUCGAGUCGGCCUGCGCGGAAGAUGUAACGGGGCUCAAACUAGGAGCCGAAGCUGCGGAUUUAAUUGUUUCAAUUAAGUGGUAGGGGAGCAUUGUGUAAGCCUGUGAAGGUGUGUUGUAAAGCAUGCUGGAGGUAUCACAAGAGCGAAUGCUGACGUGAGUAACGACAAAACGGGUGAAAAGCCCGUUCGCCGGAAGACCAAGGGUUCCAGUCCAACGUUAAUCGGGGCUGGGUGAGUCGACCCCUAAGGCGAGGCCGAAAGGCGUAGUCGAUGGGAAAUCGGUUAAUAUUCCGAUACUUGUUUAUGAUGCGAUGGAGGGACGGAGAAGGUUAUGCCAGCUUGGCGAUGGUUGUCCAAGUGGAAGGAUGUAGUUAGGUUUAGUAGGCAAAUCCGCUAGACUAUUAAUGAGAUCUGAUAGCAAGCUGUACUUGUACAGCGAAGUGGCAAAUACCCUGCUUCCAGGAAAAGCUUCUAAGCGAUAGUCAUAAAGAAAUCGUACCCGAAACCGACACAGGUGGUCAGGUAGAGAAUACCAAGGCGCUUGAGAGAACUCUGCUGAAGGAACUAGGCAAAAUGGUACCGUAACUUCGGGAGAAGGUACGCUGCCGAUGGUGAGUAGACAUGCUCUACAAAGCUAUUGGCAGUCGCAGAUACCAGGCCGCUGCAACUGUUUAUUAAAAACACAGCACUCUGCAAACACGAAAGUGGACGUAUAGGGUGUGAUGCCUGCCCGGUGCUGGAAGGUUAAUUGAUGGGGUUAGCGUAAGCGAAGCUCUUGAUCGAAGCCCCAGUAAACGGCGGCCGUAACUAUAACGGUCCUAAGGUAGCGAAAUUCCUUGUCGGGUAAGUUCCGACCUGCACGAAUGGCAUAAUGAUGGCGGCGCUGUCUCCAGCAGAGACUCAGUGAAAUCGAAAUCGCAGUGAAGAUGCUGUGUACCCGCGGCUAGACGGAAAGACCCCGUGAACCUUUACUACAGCUUUACAUUGAACUUUGACCUUACCUGUGUAGGAUAGGUGGGAGGCUUUGAAGCAGGCACGCCAGUGUCUGUGGAGCCAUCCUUGAAAUACCACCCUGGUAAUGUUGGGGUUCUAACUCAAGCUUAACAGAGCUGAGGACAAUGUAUGGUGGGUAGUUUGACUGGGGCGGUCUCCUCCUAAAGAGUAACGGAGGAGUACGAAGGUGCGCUCAGAACGGUCGGAAAUCGUUCGAAGAGUAUAAAGGCAAAAGCGCGCUUAACUGCGAGACCCACAAGUCGAGCAGAUACGAAAGUAGGUCUUAGUGAUCCGGUGGUUCUGUAUGGAAGGGCCAUCGCUCAACGGAUAAAAGGUACUCUGGGGAUAACAGGCUGAUACCGCCCAAGAGUUCAUAUCGACGGCGGUGUUUGGCACCUCGAUGUCGGCUCAUCUCAUCCUGGGGCUGAAGCAGGUCCCAAGGGUAUGGCUGUUCGCCAUUUAAAGAGGUACGCGAGCUGGGUUUAGAACGUCGUGAGACAGUUCGGUCCCUAUCUACCGUGGGCGUUGGAAAUUUGAGAGGAUCUGCUCCUAGUACGAGAGGACCAGAGUGGACGAACCUCUGGUGUUUCGGUUGUGACGCCAGUCGCAUUGCCGAGUAGCUAUGUUCGGAUGGGAUAACCGCUGAAAGCAUCUAAGCGGGAAGCCCACCUUAAGAUUAGAUUUCCCUAAAGAGCCGUUGUAGACUACGACGUUGAUAGGUUGGGUGUGGAAGCAUAGUGAUAUGUGUAGCUAACCAAUACUAAUUGCUCGUUUGGCUUGACUAU
Molecule: ribosomal RNA, 2907 nt
Organism: Aptenodytes forsteri (emperor penguin)
Lineage: Eukaryota; Metazoa; Chordata; Aves; Sphenisciformes; Spheniscidae
Rfam family: Bacterial large subunit ribosomal RNA
Source: Rfam